GAUGAACGCUGGCGGCGUGCCUAAUACAUGCAAGUCGAGCGAACAGACGAGGAGUUUGCUCCUCUGACGUUAGCGGCGGACGGGUGAGUAACAUGUGGAUAACCUACCUAUAAGACUGGGAUAACUUCGGGAAACCGGAGCUAAUACCGGAUAAUAUAUUGAACCGCAUGGUUCAAUAGUGAAAUACGGUUUUGCUGUUACUUAUAGAUGGAGCCGCGUCGCAUUAGCUAGUUGGUAAGGUAACGGCUUACCAGGGCGACGAUUCGUAGCCGACCUGAGAGGGGGGACGCCAAACCUGGAAGUGAGCCACGGUCCAGACUCCUACGGGAGGAAGCGGAAGGGAAUCUUCCGCAAGGGGCGAAAGCCUAACGGAGCAACGCGGGGUGAGUGAUGAAGGUCUUCGGAUGGUAAACCUCUGUUAUUAGGGAGGAAGAAAUGUGUAAGUAACUAUGCACGUCUUGACGGUACCUAAUCAGAAAGCCACGGCUAACUACGUG
Molecule: ribosomal RNA, 497 nt
Filed under: uncultured bacterium
Lineage: Bacteria
Description: partial 16S ribosomal RNA
Rfam family: Bacterial small subunit ribosomal RNA
Source: RNAcentral